Molecule: long non-coding RNA, 2147 nt
Organism: Felis catus (domestic cat)
Lineage: Eukaryota; Metazoa; Chordata; Mammalia; Carnivora; Felidae
Exons: 3
Source: RefSeq, a predicted model, not a curated record
UUAGUCCACAAGCCACUUCCUCUGGGAACCUUUCCUGACCCCCCUCGGGUAAGAAUUCACACUGGGACGUUCCAGUACUCCAAAUAAUUGAACACAGGUACUCCAACCAAUACACGUACGUUCAGAGCAGCACCACGCAUAACAGCCAAAAGGCGGACGUGACCCAAAUGUCGACCAGAGGAUGAGCGGAUGCACAGUGUGCGUGUGCAUGUGCAGCGUCCUAGCACCGAGCUGUUAAACGGACAGAAGAACUGACUCACAUCACCACAAGGACGAACCUAAAGAACCUGAGGCUGAGUGAAAGGAGCCAGGCACGGAUCACACACAGCAGGACUCCAUUUCUACGAAAUUUCCAGAAUAGGUACUUGCGGAGCUCCUCCUGUCCGCUGGGUGCUUUUCACGGUACUGGGAACAUGGCAAGGUGCAAGACAGGCCAAGUCCUUGCUCCACUCCAAUAAACACAGCCGGUAAACAAACGUGGAGAGGGAUGGAUAAGACCGACAAGGGUGGGAUGGAGCCCUGAUCCAUAUCCCAGGCUGCUUUUUGGUAAACCUGAUGCCUGCGGCUGACUCAGACCAACAGAAUUAGUCUCUGGACAUCCGCCACGUUAAAGUGUCCCAGGUGACCAGGAUAUGUGGCCCGGGUCAAGAAUCUGCGGCUCAGAGAGUAAGGGGUUGGAGAGGAGGGUUUGGGGAUGGCCAGGAAGGUCUCCUUGAGAAGGUGACAUUCGAACAAGGGACUGAAGACAGAGGCAGGAGUAAGUCACAGGAAAGGCCGGCAGCAGAGUAUUCUGGAAGGGCAAGUGCAGAGGGCAAGGUGGGAACCAGCUGGGCUUUCCCUGAGAACAGCAGAGCUGCGUCCCCAGAGGAGAGCGAGCCAAGAGGGAGAGGCAGGAGUGGGGGCAUGGCCCCAUGGAGGAUCCAAGGGUUCUGGUUCAGGAAACAAAAAGAAAAAGGAAAAAAUCUGGCAUCUACUGUCCAAAAAACGAUUCUCCAGGCAAUUCUGAUGAGCAGCCAGAUUUGAGAACCAGAAGGAAAGGAAAAUGGAUCCUGAGUCAGUGUAGACCUGGAUUCCAAUCCCAGCCCCACCUCUCGCUAGCUCUGUGACCUUGGAGACUUCACCGCCCUCAGCCUGUUUCUUCGUCUGUAAAGCAGGGAUAAGAAGUGUGGCCCCCCCACAGGGCGGCUGCCAGGAUUCAAUGAGCCCGUGAAUGGUCCAUCAUCGACUCCUAUCGGUUUCAUUGCCUCAGUCUCACCAGAGCCUGCCCCAUCACCGCAUCCACCCGUGGCCUCUCCUGGAAAGCUCUGGGGCCCUUCCAAUCCAUUCCUCGCUACCCUGCACCACUGCAAUCGUUCCAAAACAAAAGCGUGCAAACGUGGUCCAUCUGUGCUGGAAACACUCCUGUCCUGCCCGCUGCUCUGAGAAAGAAGCAAAGAAGGUGCUGGUCCAGCCUCUCCCUGCUCCCCCCUCUCCACCCUCCUCAGGGUGCUCCCCACUGUUCCUAGGACAAACUCAACCCCACUUCUUCUCCCUGGGAACUUCUAGGCAACCUGUAGAUCUUAGCCCCCACGUGCCCUCCUCGGGGAUCCAUUUGGAAUUAGACCUCAGGUCUGUCUUCCUGAUGACUGGGAACUCUGAAGUGCUCACCAUUAUAUCCCCAGUGCCCAGCACGGGGCUUGACACACAGUAGAAGCACAGUAAAUACACGCUGGAUGAUCUACUGAAUCUAGCCAGUUGCCCAUGCGGUGGCUGUGGCCCUCACAGCAAGCCAGUCAGGCUGGUGUGACAUGCCCAUUUUACAGGUGGGUAAACAGAGGCCCAGAGAGCCCAAGGAACCUGCCUGCAGUCACAAAGCUGGUGAGUGCCAGUAGAGAUUGACGCCCACAAUCAUCCACCUCUUAACAACAAUGCUCGGUGUUCACACCACUGCAGCCUGCAGAGAUGGUUAAUAUCUGUGCACGAUAAAAUUGGGCAGACAGCUUAUUACCAACUAACUGCAAUUCACUAAGCCAACAUUCUAAAUCGACAAUGAAGCUCUCGUUCCACACAGAGCCUUUCAGGGGCUUUUUCUUUUUCUUCUAAGUUUAUUUAUUUAUUAUUUUGAGAGAGACGGGGAAAGGGGCGAGAGAGAAGGGGAGAGAGGAUCC